RNAcentral lists this ribosomal RNA (253 nucleotides) under uncultured bacterium. RNAcentral describes it as "partial 16S ribosomal RNA". It matches the Rfam family "Bacterial small subunit ribosomal RNA", at positions 524 to 776 of the family's 1533-position model. The record is from RNAcentral.
UAAGAAGGGGACUAGCGUUGUUCGGAAUCACUGGGCGUAAAGCGCACGUAGGCGGAUUUGUCAGUCAGGGGUGAAAUCCCGGGGCUCAACCUCGGAACUGCCUUUGAUACAGCACGUCUCGAGUCCGGAAGAGGUGGGUGGAAUUCCUAGUGUAGAGGUGAAAUUCGUAGAUAUUAGGAAGAACACCGGUGGCGAAGGCGGCCCACUGGAUCGGUACUGACGCUGAGGUGCGAAAGCGUGGGGAGCAAACAGG